AAGUCGUAACAAGGUUUCCAUAGGUGAACCUGCGGAAGGAUCAUUACCGAACAACCAAAUCCUCUGUGCCUCCUUGUAGCAGGCAGGAUCGGGGUUCCAAGGGGUUGCCUUCCAGCACCCCUUGGUCUCCAUGCUGCCACUACGUCCUCCUAUUUUACCAAACAAAACCCGUCUGUCGCAUGUUUGUGGCAUCCCCUUGUCGGGCUUGCCCUUUAAACAUAUCAAACAUAACUUUCAACAACGGAUCUCUUGGCUCUC
Molecule: unclassified non-coding RNA, 258 nt
Filed under: fungal sp.
Lineage: Eukaryota; Fungi
Description: partial internal transcribed spacer region
Rfam family: Eukaryotic small subunit ribosomal RNA (bases 1-46)
Source: RNAcentral